Molecule: ribosomal RNA, 274 nt
Filed under: uncultured bacterium
Lineage: Bacteria
Description: partial 16S ribosomal RNA
Rfam family: Archaeal small subunit ribosomal RNA
Source: RNAcentral
AAACCAGCACCUCAAGUGGUCAGGAUGAUUAUUGGGCCUAAAGCAUCCGUAGCCGGCUCUGUAAGUUUUCGGUUAAAUCUGUACGCUUAACGUACAGGCUGCCGGGAAUACUGCAGAGCUAGGGAGUGGGAGAGGUAGACGGUACUCGGGAGGAAGUGGUAAAAUGCUUUGAUCUCUCGAUGACCACCUGUGGCGAAGGCGGUCUACCAGAACACGUCCGACGGUGAGGGACGAAAGCCAGGGGAGCGAACCGGAUUAGAGACCCGCGUAGUCC